Long non-coding RNA from Hemicordylus capensis (graceful crag lizard), 928 nucleotides. RefSeq lists it as uncharacterized. NCBI's taxonomy places the organism in Eukaryota, Metazoa, Chordata, Lepidosauria, Squamata, Cordylidae. The transcript is spliced from 5 exons. The record is from RefSeq and is a predicted model, not a curated record.
ACGCGGGCGGGGGGGGGGGGCGUGUGUGGCCACCUGGCAGGACGGUGGAACUCAAGGGGAGAGGAACCCCACACGUCGGAGCCGCGCCGGCUACUGUCAUACACAGGGGCUCGCGCGUCACAACAAGCCCCUUCCUCGAGGAUUAAUCAAAUGGGCAAUUCCAGUCAGUCAGAGAUAAUGCAGUGAAUUGGAUGGCUUCACAGUUCAGCAUAGCCAAUCAAAUGAAAUUAACUGAGAACAAGAAAAGCCAGAAACAACAAAUACUCAAAAAUUAUUGGUAAAGAAGCCUCUGUUGCAGAACAAAACUUGUUAUUCACCAACUUGGGAAAACAAGACCAUUUGGCUGCAUAGGAUCUCAAUGUGGAAAGCUCCCUUGCCACUGUCAAGAUGGCUUGCACCUGGUCACUGAAAAUGGUCACAGCUCUAUCCACCGGGCUGUCAGAUGUAGUGACUCCACUUCCAGGUGAAGACAACAGCCCCCAUCAGUAGGUACAGCACCGAUGGCAGACGCUGACCCAGACGGCAAAGAAGACAAAGUUGCAGCUCUAUAUUUCCCACUAGUUGUCUUCUUAUGGGAGGUACGAAAAGCCAGUCAUCUAUGUACGGGUAAACCGUAACACCCUGGAGUUGAAGGUGGACUGCCGCCACCACCAUGCAUUUGCACCUCCCUGUCAAAUGGCAAGUCCUCUAUGCGCAUCCUGGCUUCUGGGGACAGAGAAUAGGAGCGUAGCCAUGCGUGCCUUGGCAAGAAAACUGCAGAUGCCAUGGUGCGAGAGCCACAAUCGGCGCAAUGCCUCAAGGAAUGCAGUUUCUGCUUCGUUACGCAGAGGCCUUCGUUUAGAAAACACAGCACGGCAUUCCUCUGUUCCUCUCUGGAGCUGUUGGAGAAAAGGUGCCAACUUCUUUAAAAAUAAAUGUUGGUAACGUG